AAAUUGAAGAGUUUGAUCAUGGCUCAGAUUGAACGCUGGCGGCAGGCCUAACACAUGCAAGUCGAACGGUAACAGGAAGCAGCUUGCUGCUUUGCUGACGAGUGGCGGACGGGUGAGUAAUGUCUGGGAAACUGCCUGAUGGAGGGGGAUAACUACUGGAAACGGUAGCUAAUACCGCAUAACGUCGCAAGACCAAAGAGGGGGACCUUCGGGCCUCUUGCCAUCGGAUGUGCCCAGAUGGGAUUAGCUAGUAGGUGGGGUAAAGGCUCACCUAGGCGACGAUCCCUAGCUGGUCUGAGAGGAUGACCAGCCACACUGGAACUGAGACACGGUCCAGACUCCUACGGGAGGCAGCAGUGGGGAAUAUUGCACAAUGGGCGCAAGCCUGAUGCAGCCAUGCCGCGUGUAUGAAGAAGGCCUUCGGGUUGUAAAGUACUUUCAGCGGGGAGGAAGGGAGUAAAGUUAAUACCUUUGCUCAUUGACGUUACCCGCAGAAGAAGCACCGGCUAACUCCGUGCCAGCAGCCGCGGUAAUACGGAGGGUGCAAGCGUUAAUCGGA
Molecule: ribosomal RNA, 559 nt
Filed under: Escherichia coli
Lineage: Bacteria; Pseudomonadati; Pseudomonadota; Gammaproteobacteria; Enterobacterales; Enterobacteriaceae
Description: bacterial SSU rRNA
Rfam family: Bacterial small subunit ribosomal RNA
Source: RNAcentral